Molecule: ribosomal RNA, 186 nt
Filed under: uncultured bacterium
Lineage: Bacteria
Description: partial 16S ribosomal RNA
Rfam family: Bacterial small subunit ribosomal RNA
Source: RNAcentral
UCCACGCCGUAAACGAUGUACACUAGGAGUUGGGGGGAUACUUUUAGCUCCGCAGCAAACGCAUUAAGUGUACCGCCUGGGGAGUACGGCCGCAAGGUUGAAACUCAAAGAAAUUGAACGGGGGCCCGCACAAGGCGGUGGAGCACGGUGGUUUAAUUCGAUGAUAAGCGAAGAACCUUACCAGGG